GUGUCUUGAUGCAGAUUUCCAGAAACCAAAGGCAUCCUUCUCAUGAAAGAUUAAUUUGUAAAUGCCAAGAUUCCCAGAGAAAUUAACUGUGCAUAUAUGAAACAAGGAAGACACCAUUGGUCUAGUGGGGAACACCAGAUUGGAAAACCUCAGAGAACAAAUGCAGCCAGUAUAACCUCUGGAGAAUCAUCCCUCAGUUCUACCGGAAGGGGAAAUAUGUGAGAUGCAAGGACACCGCAAUGACAUGGACUUUCAGACCCAAGGAAUCAGAUCAUUUUAAGUAAUUGUUUUAUCAAAAGCCUGCGUCCCCAGGGGGACCUGCCUGUGGCCAUAUGGAGCUCAACAUAGCCUCCUCUCAGCAGGACAGCCUCUCUGCUCCUUCCAGUGUCUGGACGGCAAUGACACAAUUCCUGGUGGUGUUCUGACCCCCGACUGCUGAUGUAAGCGACACAUUGGAGGAGCAACUGAAAUCUGGGACAAGUAGUGACAUCUUGCUACCUCUGAGGACAGGCCUUCUAGGAUGCAAGCAGUGAAACAAAACUGAGACCCUGCAAACUAAUUAGCCUCCCUCGUUUUAUUUCCCUUGCUGUCUGAAUAGUCAAAAGAAAAAGG
This is a long non-coding RNA of Talpa occidentalis (Iberian mole), 612 nucleotides long. RefSeq lists it as uncharacterized. The transcript is spliced from 5 exons. The record is from RefSeq and is a predicted model, not a curated record. NCBI's taxonomy places the organism in Eukaryota, Metazoa, Chordata, Mammalia, Eulipotyphla, Talpidae.